GAAAGUAAAAUUAGAGCGUACGGUGAAUGCCUAGGCUCUCAGAGGCGAAGAAGGACGUGAUAAGCUGCGAAAAGCUGUGGGGAGGUGCAAAUGACCGUCGAUCCGCAGAUGUCCGAAUGGGGCAACCCUUACCGGUGAAGCCGGUAAAUUCCGCAAGGAAGGCGAACCCAGGGAACUGAAACAUCUAAGUACCUGGAGGAGAAGAAAUCAAAUAGAGAUUCCCUUAGUAGUGGCGAGCGAAAAGGGACUAGCCCAAAUUCAGACAGUUACGGCUGUUUGGAGGUUAUAGGACUGAAAUAAUUUAUUAUAAAUAGAAGCAGAAAGUGUUUGGAAAACACUACCAAAGAGGGUGAAAGUCCUGUAGGCGUGUAUUUAUGAUAGAGUUCAGAAUCCUGAGUACCACAGGACACGAGAAAUCCGGUGGGAAUUAGCGAGGACCAUCUCGUAAGGCUAAAUACUCCUGAGAGACCGAUAGUGAACCAGUACCGUGAGGGAAAGGUGAAAAGUACUUCGAACAGAAGAGUGAAAUAGAACCUGAAACCGUGCGCUUACAAGCGGUCGGAGUCCCUUUGUGGGAUGACGGCGUGCCUUUUGCAUAAUGAGCCUACGAGUUACUCCUCUCUAGCAAGGUUAAGACGUUCAGCGUUGCAGCCGAAGCGAAAGCGAGUCUGAAAUAUGGCGCUAAGUUAGAGGGGGUAGACGCGAAACUUUGUGAUCUACCCAUGGCCAGGUUGAAGCCCCGAUAAAACGGGGUGGAGGACCGAACUAAUAAGCGUUGAAAAGCUUCUGGAUGAGCUGUGGGUAGGGGUGAAAGGCCAAUCAAACUGAGAAAUAGCUCGUACUCCCCGAAAUGCAUUUAGGUGCAGCCUUGAGGACAAACGUCUGUUAGAGGUAGAGCUACUGAUAAGGCUAGAGGGCUUCACCGCCUAUCAAACCUUGACAAACUCCGAAUGCUAACAGAUAAACUCAGGAGUGAGGCUGCGGGUGCUAAGGUCCGUGGCCGAGAGGGGAAGAACCCAGACCAUCAGCUAAGGUCCCCAAAUAUAUGCUAAGUUGAACAAACGAGGUGCGACUGCCCAGACAGCUAGGAUGUUGGCUUGGAAGCAGCCAUUCAUUUAAAGAGUGCGUAACAGCUCACUAGUCGAGUGGUCGUGCGUGGAUAAUAAUCGGGCAUCAAGCAUAUUACCGAAGCUAUGGUACCGCCUCAGGCGGUAGGUAGGGGAGCAUUCUAACGACGUAGAAGCAGUGUUGUGAGACAUUGUGGAGAUGUUAGAAAAGCAAAUGUAGGCAUAAGUAACGAUAAUGCGGGUGAGAACCCCGCACACUGAUAGACUAAGGCUUCCUGAUCAACGUUAAUCGGAUCAGGGUUAGUCGGGACCUAAGGCGUAGCCGAACGGCGAAGUCGAUGGACAACAGGUUAAUAUUCCUGUACCAGCUUAGCUGCGUAGGGGUGACGAAAGAGUGACAAGCCGGCGUACUGACGGAAUAGUACGUUGAAGGGUGUAGGUAAAGUUUAAGGUUAAUAGCUUUAGAUUGCCGAACCUGACAGUACCGCGAGUUUACGGACGAGCGGAAAAGGCUGUAAUCAAAUUUCCCAGAAAACCCCCGAAGCUUCAGGCAAAAGCUGCCCGUACCGCAAACCGACACAGGUAGUCAAGUAGAGAAUACUAAGGUGCUCGAGUGAUCCAUGGCUAAGGAACUAGGCAAAUUAGUCCUGUAACUUAGGGAGAAAGGACUCCAUGUAGCAAUACAUGGACGCAGAGAAACGAUCCAGGCGACUGUUUAACAAAAACACAGGGCUUUGCAAAAUUGAAAGAUGAAGUAUAAGGCCUGACACCUGCCCGGUGCUGGAAGGUUAAGAGGAGAAGUCAUUGCGCAAGCAGGUAGCUUUGAAUUGAAGCCCCAGUAAACGGCGGCCGUAACUAUAACGGUCCUAAGGUAGCGAAAUUCCUUGUCGGGUAAGUUCCGACCUGCACGGACGGAAAGACCCCGUGAACCUUUACUGCAACUUUGCAUUGAUUUUGGGUACGUGAUGUGUAGGAUAGGUGGGAGACAGUGAAGUGGGUGCGCCAGCAUUCAUGGAGUCGACGUUGAAAUACCACCCUUUGCUUAUCUGGAAUCUAAUCCCGCGAGGGCGACAGUGCAUGGUGGGUAGUUUGACUGGGGUGGUCGCCUCCAAAAGAGUAACGGAGGCUUCCAAAGGUACCCUCAGAACGAUUGGUAACCGUUCGAAGAGUGCAAUGGCACAAGGGUGCUUGACUGUGAGACCGACAAGUCGAGCAGGUACGAAAGUAGGGCAUAGUGAUCCGGUGGUUCCGCAUGGAAGGGCCAUCGCUCAAAGGAUAAAAGGUACUCCGGGGAUAACAGGCUGAUCGCCGCCAAGAGCU
RNAcentral lists this ribosomal RNA (2387 nucleotides) under microbial mat metagenome. RNAcentral's name for it is "bacterial LSU rRNA". It matches the Rfam family "Bacterial large subunit ribosomal RNA", at positions 1 to 2500 of the family's 2925-position model. The record is from RNAcentral.